UUGACCUCGGAUCAGGUAGGGAUACCCGCUGAACUUAAGCAUAUCAAUAAGCGGAGGAAAAGAAACCAACAGGGAUUGCCCCAGUAACGGCGAGUGAAGCGGCAAGAGCUCAAAUUUGAAAGCUGGCUCCUUCGGGGUCCGCAUUGUAAUUUGUAGAGGAUGCUUCGGGAGCGGUCCCCAUCUAAGUGCCCUGGAACGGGACGUCAUAGAGGGUGAGAAUCCCGUAUGGGA
This 231-nucleotide ribosomal RNA is filed under the name Penicillium robsamsonii. RNAcentral's name for it is "partial 28S ribosomal RNA". It matches the Rfam family "Eukaryotic large subunit ribosomal RNA", at positions 1 to 228 of the family's 3401-position model. The record is from RNAcentral. Lineage: Eukaryota; Fungi; Ascomycota; Eurotiomycetes; Eurotiales; Aspergillaceae. RNAcentral also lists the same sequence under 1 other name.